CUCUCAAGUUUGUAUAAGAUUUUCACUAAAACAAAACAAAACAAAAAUUGUGCCUCAAUUUGUUCAAUUGUAUUUCUUUUUCUUGCUCCCAGCAUUCAGACAUGUCAGAAAAUUGAACUACAAAAUAUCUUUAUUUGGAUAAGUAGCUUUGUAGGAAAAAAUGCUUUAAAAAGCAUGAUUCAGAUCAGUUGUUUUGGGAAAUUGAAAUCCUACCAAUUAAGAAAUUAUUGUUUUCAUUUCUGAGACAUAGCUGAAACUAAAAUGCCAUUUUACAGUGCUAGUAAAACUGGACAGGAGUUGAUAUAAGAAACAAAAUCAGUCAUUUUCCAAAGUAGACCAGAAGCAAACACAAUAAAAGUUGAACUGAGAUAAAGAAUAUUAAAUAUCAUGUUAGAUCCAUAAAUGAAUCAUGACAUUAGUCCAAGACAAAUACAAACUGAAAAACGUGUUUGCUGGAUAUUCUCCUAAUGGUUCCUUUUCUUCUACCUCCACAGAAAAUUGUCCUGGUUUUGUUGCGCAAAUGAUAUUUAUGCAGGAAAUCUUUACGAUGUAUAUUUCCAGGCUCUUUUGGAUUUCAGCUUAGGUCUCCUGGUGUUUCCAGCGGUGAUAUCACCUUUGAGACAUUGGUUCACUAAUAUUUUUUAUCACUUAAAACCACUCGGUACUUCCUGGGAUCUUGCAUCCCAAAACUGAUGAGCCGGCUUAGCAAAAUCACAACUGAUCACCAACCAUUUUUAUCUCACAGGACACACGAAUUAACAAAAGACUUCCCCCGGGGAUUCCACAUUGUCUGAAAGAGAACACAGCCUGUCUGGAACAUCUUCAUGCCAAUCACUGAGUUCAUCUAAAACCCCUAGGGCAGAAGGGAAUGAAUUCUUGAACCUUCUUUGCCUCUGAAGUUGCAGAGGUGGUCUGUUACAGACUGAGGGCCCCUAAACAGCCAGACCAGAACAGUCUUUGAGACCCACAUAAACUUCUUCCAGGUCUGUUCAUUCCCAAUUCAACUGCUAAGUGCAAGACUCUGGAUUAUGUGCAGUGGAAGUAUAUAGAAGCAAAAACUGCAGAUCUUGCCUGAUGGACCAAACAGUCUGAGACCAGAGGACCUACUGUUCCUACGGCUAAUUCAGUCAAAGAAACCAUUUGAUCUGCAUGUUGGACCAAAUGACCAGUGGUUUGACUGAGUUCACAGCCAUCGUGGCUGCUCUGGCGGUGUGUGUCCACCCAGGCUUUGUUUGUGUGCUGGCAGUCUCUGCACCGAGAACACACAGCAUAUGCCAGGUGGCCAUGUGUCUGAGGCAGAGGGAAGGGAGAACAAAGCAGAAAAAGCUUCCAUUUGGACAGAGAUGCUUUAAGCCAUCCGACUGCCAGUAACAUAUUAAAGAGAAAAGAAAAUGCAAUGAUGCCUGAAUAUACUCAACAGUAAACAACUUCAAGCCUGAGAUUCAGAUCACAAAUCUUCCUCUGCUGCUGCUGAUGAGCUCAGCUUGAGCGUGGCUGCAGGAGACAAAGAAACUUGAUCCAAGAGGAAAAUAAGAAGAGAUCUUCACACCAAUUUUAAUCUAUCUCAGAUGUAUGUUUUAAGAAUCUAUUGUAUCAUAACCUUUGUAUUAUGUCAGAAGUCUGUUCUGUUGAAGAACUGGUCGCUCUCUUGCUGGUUCUCCAACAAGCGCUGUUUUCGCACCUGGAUGAGGACAUUUUGCCAUGUUGUGCUGGAUUGCUGUUUGUCUCUACGUGUGGCUCCUCCAGGCAAGUUGUGAUCUCCCAGAGGGCAUGUUUUGUACCCUGUUGACCUUUGAGUUUCCAGCACACAGCAAUUCAUGAGCUAAAUAUGGAUCACUUCAAACACAAUCACGAGCAAAUAUAGCAGACUUACCUGAAUCAAACAUCACUUCCAGUCAUCUCGGGGAUCUGGCCAUCCCAAGUAAGAUGAUAGGAAUUCAGGACCAUCUAAAGUCCUAUCUCCACAGCUCCCAAUAUUGCCAAGAGAAUAAAACACGGUGAAGAAUACUAUGUUGAGUUCUGCUUCAAUUUAUGUAAAAAUUGGGGAGCAAUAAACAUUUGUAUGCAUAUCAGUGAUUCUCUCUUGGGAUAAGGUAUUGGGAAUCUGCAGGGGAAGAAAGAUUUUCCUUUUAUUAAAUUCUCAUUUACACAUUUGAUUUACAUUUUACCAUGUUCAUAUAAAUUUUUUUCAAUUAAAUGUUCCAAUUAACUUUAAAAAAUUUAUCUCUUUCAAGAGUGAAGAUUUUUUAAAAGAAAUUGAUGUGAUUGUUCUUUCUGUGAAUGAGUGAUGGCCUAAUGAGAUUACCCCUUUACCUUUCUACCAAGAGAAGCAAGAGAUAGCAAAAGGAACAUAAAGGAGGAGGCAAUACAAGAUCCUGAUUGUAGAUACCACUAGUUUCCAGCUAGUAACUUCUCCUAAGUAUCAAGUAGACAUGUAGGUAAGUUUCAUGACUCUUGGAUAAAAUGGAAAUUAUACAGUUUUUAAUUCUUGGAAAGGACUUCAGAAUACAUAUGCUUCUUUAAUGCAAUGGAGUUCCUGUGGUUUGAAAAGGAUCAGCACCUACUGCAAGGUCUGAUUCCCAUCCCAAGUAGCUGAUUUAUUUAUCUGGUUGGAUCUGGCUCGAGUUAUCAAGAAAUUAUCAAAACUUAGUAUUUAGAGCUUCCAAGUUCACAGAACUUUGCAACUGGACUCUCUUCUAAGCUUUAUUAGAUUUCUUUACUGGAAAAAGAAGUUUAUAUUUUAAUAUUAUUUUACAUGUUUUCUUUCUUUUUUUUUCUGUCUGGUCUACUGGAAUAAAUGUCUCUCAAGAAAACCCAGCGAAAUUUCAAAACUAGACCGUUUGUCUUGAUGCCUGUAGGAAUUUCACUUAACAAAAAUUGUCCCCCAAAUUGUAUUGAAAUCUUUCCAGAACCAGUAGAAACAGAGAUGCCUCCUUUUGCCUAUGCUUCCAGGAUUCCGGUAUAAAACCGCUGCCAUUUGCACUGUACGCUAAUGACAAGCUGGAUGUUUGCAUGAAAGCCAAUAUGUUCUUUCACUGCUUUUUGAGACAAGUAAUAAUCAGUCUGUCAUCAAUGUCAUGCUGCAAUCAGGCUUUGACAAGGUUUGCAAAUAGCUUGAAAGGAAUUGCUCAUCCCUGAACACUGCAGAUCAAAACCAGACCUGAACAAAAACUAGAAGUCUGCUGCACGUCAGCUGCAUGGUCUCUGGGAACGUGCUGUGCAUAAGCAGAAGCAGCAGCAGAGGGAACAACCGAGCCCUAAUUCCACCCCCCUCCUCUACUUCUUAUUUUUUUUUGAGAUCUUCUCUUGGCCACCAAUCCUGGGAACCAGAUAUUCAAAACCAUGAUGUAGCCACCUGAGAUGCCAGGUCUGAUGGGAAGUAUUAGUUGUAUUAUUCUGGAAAAAUGAUUGGAAAAGCAAGUAACAUGUCCAUCUUAAGGUGGGUUGUUCUCUUAACUCAUGGGCUGGAGCAGGCAGGAUUUCUGAUCAAACUCAGUACUUCCAUCAGUGAGGGGAUGUGUGCACAAGGAAUGGAACCAUCGACUGCUUUCUCUUCUUCUCCUCCCUUCCUCAGCUCUUCCCAUCCCCUAGAGGGGGUGAGAUGUGUGUUAUUUUUUCACUGCUGCUCCUGAUACUUGUUAAUCUGUAGGCUUUCACAAUCAUAAGAAAAGAGUUCACCUUAUAUAACUUUGAGAAUACUUAUAUAAGUUCAACUUAUAAAACUUUGAGAACAAGAUCUUUGGGAGAAAAAAUAUAAAUUUAGAAGUGUCAGCUGGUCACAGGUCUGCUCAGAGCUUCAAAACAUAUUUGCACUUCAUAUUUGUAUAAAUAGCUGGACAGCCAAAUGACAUAUGGACUUGAGCAUUCAUGAAUUAU
RNAcentral lists this long non-coding RNA (3876 nucleotides) under Equus caballus (horse). Its description in RNAcentral is "lncRNA (ENSECAG00000048265.1)". The record is from RNAcentral. Lineage: Eukaryota; Metazoa; Chordata; Mammalia; Perissodactyla; Equidae.